GACCAUUUUUAUAUGCAAGCUCCUGGAAUGCCUGUGGUUUCUCCAGCACCUGGGUCCUGCUGGCAACCAGCAGCACCCAGUGGCCAGCAGCGUACUCUUUCACCUCUUCUUGGGUGACUUUGUGGAAUGCUCCAAUGUGACAUCUCCCUGUGAACGCCUUUCCUGACACCCUAAAAAGUGUCAGGAAUUUCCAGCAAGUUCCAGAGAGCAGGUUUCCAGCAAGUUUGGUCAGUAUGACACCACAGCGAUAUCUCUGCCAUUCACUGAACUUGGAUUCUUCCUUCUUCAGUGAGAGAUGUUCAAGAAAAAGAACAACUUCAGUGGAAGAAGAAGAAGAUAGGAGCCCAGGUCCUGUGUUUCACCAAGACAGCCGUGCAAAGCAGAUGCUGCCAAAAAGGUGCAAAGUGGUUUGUCAGCUCUUCUGCAUGUUCUAACAAAUUAGACAUGCAUCCCAAAAGGUUUCCUAGACUUUCCAUCACCACCAGUGAAUUCUGAGUGACAAUAGUGUGGAAUUUGGAAGAAUGGAAGAGAAACUGAAGUGGAGAGAUGGUGAAAGAGAAGAAAAAAUGAAGAAAGAUGCUUGCAAAAAUACUGCUGUGGGUCCUGAGAUGAGGAUUCUGGGAGGGCUGAAAUGGAUGCCCCUGACAGCUCCCUUUGAGUUCCUGUUCAUCUGAAGUACACCAGCUUUCUAGAUAUGCUGUCACUUUCCUUCUGCAGAGCCACAGUGGUGUCCUGUCUUCUCAGACCUCUUCUCACCUCAAAUCACUUAGGACUCGGCCACCAGACAGAUUUGGGAUUUCAGAACUUUUCAGAUGUUAGAAAGUUCUUUUCUAAAUGUGAUGAGGAAUUACGGAAUCAUAAAAUGGAAGCAGAGUUAAACUCAGACAUGUGGGCACUCAAGGCAAUUAGGAGCUUUCUGCGAUGAGAAAGGGAUCAGACUGAUCCUUAAGACUUUAUGCAACCCCAGAGUAUUGCAGCCACCUGCAUGCCGAAGGUGUCAAGAGUGUUCUCACUGCUGCCUAUAGGAGGGUCUUCAGCCUCCAGUGAUCCAAAGUACCAGGCUGACCUGUGACUGCUUCGGCCAACUGAAUAGGGAAGAGUGAUGCUGUGCUGUUUCCAGGCCUGUUCUUUAAAAGUACUUGGAAGCUUCUGCCUUGGCCUCUUUGUGCCUGAGUUGCUGUAUAAGAAUCUGACUACCUUGCUGGAGAGACCUUGUGGAGAAGACUUGACCUUAUAUGCAGAGGUAGAGGGGCCCUGGUUAGUCCAGCCAUCUAGCCAUCCUGUCAAAAUAGCAGAUCCAUUUCCUGCCCUUCUUUUAUUCUACUCUGUAUUACAGCCAACCACAUUUCCAGGCUCCCUUGUCCUCUGCUAUCUAGAUCUGUAUGCAAGAAGAAAUGAAAAAGAUGAACAGGUAGAGUCCAGGACUACCUACCACAGCUCAGGAGUAUGAUGGCCAAUGGAUCCAAAACCUAUCCUAUAUCUACAUGUUGGUGGCCACAUUAAUCUGACAUCUGACAGCAAGAGCGAUGAUUGGGUUCACUGGAAAUCUUUGUGAAGUACGAGUGAAGUCCUUGUGAAGUCAGAGUUUCCUCUUCAUGCCUCUACUCCUAUGCAGUUUGACCUCUCAGUGUGCAGCUGGUGAUAGAUGGAAACCCUUGUUCAUAAGCUUUGUGGCACUGUCGGCAGGAUGAGGGGACUUCUGGAUCCUCACUGGUCACUGUGGCAGAGUGGUUGGUGUUGUCUGCUCCCUAGACAGGAACCCACUGAAGAAUCUGACAUUUUUUGAUAUGCUGGCAUUCAUUGUUACAGCCCAUCAUCCCAGCCAUCAAUCCAGGACAUGGGGUCUGUGCCCACGGUGGGAAGGAGGAGGGGGAAGCUGGCUUUGUUCUGACGUUGGGCUUCUUCUGCUCCACCAGUACUUUCUGUGGGGGAAAUAGGUAAAGAAAUGGCUGUUCAGAUGAGAAGAUGUGUCAGUAAACUUUUGCUACAGUGAUGCUGCAAAACAAAUCACUGGUGACUUUCAGUGGCACACAGCAAUAAACAUUUAUUUAGCUCAGGGAUUGACAAUCUUUUUUUUUUUUUAAAGGGCCAAAUAGUAAAUAUUUUAGGUGUUUCAGGCCAUACAGUCUCUGAACUCUGAACUUGUAGCACAACAGUAGCCUUAGAUGCUAUGCAAAUGGAGGAGCAUGACUGUGUUCCAAUAAAACUUUAUUUAUGGACACUAAAAUUGGAAUUUCAUGGAAUUUUUAUAUGUUAAGAAAUAUUAUACUUUGAUUUUUU
RNAcentral lists this long non-coding RNA (2280 nucleotides) under Homo sapiens (human). RNAcentral's name for it is "non-protein coding lnc-LARP1B-1:28". The record is from RNAcentral. Lineage: Eukaryota; Metazoa; Chordata; Mammalia; Primates; Hominidae.